AAAAAAAAAAAAAAAAAAAUAGAUGUUAGCUUAUUCCAUCAACCUUUAUAUUCAAGAAACUCAAAGGGUUACAUAGAUUGGAGAUAUUGUACACCCAAAUCGGGUUACGAGUAUAUGUAUAUAUAUGGGGAAAACACAAUCGAAAUAACAAAUUUACCUAAUAACAAAACAAAUGAAUAUAUUCAAGAAAGACUAAGAAAAGCUUAAAUAAAUAUGGAAGAUUAAAAAUUUUAAAAUGUUUAAGUAAUAGAAACGAUCCAUAUAUAAACAACAAUGUUGCUUAUGCCAGUUUUACAAAAAAGCAGAUAUGUAUAAAUGUAUACGAAAUGUAAAUAUAAGAUUACCUUUAUCAUUACAACAUAAAAUUUUAAAAUUUAAAAGCUUAUAUUCUAAUAAAAGUAACGAUUAUAAUUAUUUUUUUAAACAAGAUCAUUAUAAUUACAGUUCAAUAAAUAUAGCGUUAAAUUUAUUUAAAUAUUUACAAUUUCAUAAUUGUUUUUUAAAUAUUAAAGACAUAUAUAAAUAUGUAUUUGAAUAUUCGUAUUAUCCUCAUAAAAUUAUUAGUUCAGGUAUAUCUAUAUAUAAGGUAUUUAACAGUUGGCUUAACUUUAUUAACUUCUUUGAAGAACUUUUUAUCAAAACAAAUAAAAACAAUGAAAUAUUAAUUAGUGCGAAUAUUAUAUCCGAUCAAAAUUUAUGUAUAUAUUUAAAUAACAAAUUAAUCGAAUUAAAAAAAAAAACGAACUCGAUUAACUCUGUACACUGGAGACAACAUUCUUUACAAUUACCACAAGAUGUAGAAGCUAAGUUAAACAAUGAACAUCCACAAAAAUUAAAAGAAGAAAUUCAAAUUUUAUCAAGAACGAAAGAUUUUUACAAGAUUCAUGAUGAACGUCAUUUAUUUAAAUUAAAACUCAACAAAGAGAGGAAAGAAAAAAAAGGAUUACUAAAAAAUAAAAACACAAAGUAAAGAUGAAAACAUCAUUUUUGCUUUUUUUCAUUAUAGAGUUAAUGAUUUUUUAUAAAACGAAUGCGGAAUCAAAAAUUUAUAAAUUAAAAUUAGAUAAUGUAAUAUAUAGUAUUUUUAUUGAGCAAAAAAAAGUAUCUUUUAGUGAUUUAGAUGCCUAUAAAAUUAUGUUCCAUUCAAAUCAUAUAAACUAUAGUGGAAAUGCAGUUAUAUAUUAUUUAUAUAAGCUAGGCUUUAAUAAUUUUGAAAAUGGAGAAUUCCUUUUAAAAAAUAUUAAUAUAACAUAUAAUGCACCACUAAAAUAUAAUGAUCAUUAUAAAAUUAUUGGAACAAUCACAUAUUAUGGUAAUACUUCUUUAGGAAUAAGUUUGGUGGGUGUGACAUCUACAAUAAACGAAAUUAAUAAUUCA
Molecule: long non-coding RNA, 1377 nt
Filed under: Piliocolobus tephrosceles (Ugandan red Colobus)
Lineage: Eukaryota; Metazoa; Chordata; Mammalia; Primates; Cercopithecidae
Description: lncRNA (ENSPTEG00000012254.1)
Source: RNAcentral